CCUACGGGCGGCAGCAGUGAGGAAUAUUGGUCAAUGGGCGAGAGCCUGAACCAGCCAAGUCGCGUGAGGGAUGAAGGUACAGAGUAUCGUAAACCUCUUUUGUCAGGGAACAAAGGCGGGGACGCGUCCCCGGAUGAGUGGACCUGAAGAAAAAGCAUCGGCUAACUCCGUGCCAGCAGCCGCGGUAAUACGGAGGAUGCGAGCGUUAUCCGGAUUUAUGGGGUUUAACGGGUGCGCAGGCGGUCUGUUAAGUCAGCGGUCAAAGCCCGGGGCUCAACCCCGGCCCGCCGUUGAAACUGGCAGUCUCGAGUUGGAGAGAAGUAUGCGGAAUGCGCGGUGUAGCAGUGAAAUGCAUAGAUAUCGCGCAGAACUCCGGUGGCGAAGGCAGCAUGCCGGCUCCACACUGACGCUGAGGCACGAAGGCGUGGGUAUCGAACAGGAUUAGAUACCCUUGUAGUC
RNAcentral lists this ribosomal RNA (459 nucleotides) under uncultured bacterium. Its description in RNAcentral is "partial 16S ribosomal RNA". It matches the Rfam family "Bacterial small subunit ribosomal RNA", at positions 338 to 795 of the family's 1533-position model. The record is from RNAcentral.